UGCAGUCGAGCGGUAAGGCCCUUCGGGGUACACGAGCGGCGAACGGGUGAGUAACACGUGAGCAACCUGCCCCUGACUCUGGGAUAAGCGGUGGAAACGCCGUCUAAUACCGGAUACGACCCGCCACCUCAUGGUGGAGGGUGGAAAGUUUUUCGGUCAGGGAUGGGCUCGCGGCCUAUCAGCUUGUUGGUGGGGUAACGGCCUACCAAGGCGAUUACGGGUAGCCGGCCUGAGAGGGCGACCGGCCACACUGGGACUGAGACACGGCCCAGACUCCUGCGGGAGGCAGCAGUGGGGAAUAUUGCGCAAUGGGCGAAAGCCUGACGCAGCGACGCCGCGUGGGGGAUGACGGCCUUCGGGUUGUAAACCUCUUUUACCACCAACGCAGGCUUCCAGUUCUCUGGAGGUUGACGGUAGGUGGGGAAUAAGGACCGGCUAACUACGUGCCAGCAGCCGCGGUAAUACGUAGGGUCCGAGCGUUGUCCGGAAUUAUUGGGCGUAAAGAGCUCGUAGGCGGCGUGUCGCGUCUGCUGUGAAAGACCGGGGCUUAACUCCGGUUCUGCAGUGGAUACGGGCAUGCUAGAGGUAGGUAGGGGAGACUGGAAUUCCUGGUGUAGCGGUGAAAUGCGCAGAUAUCAGGAGGAACACCGGUGGCGAAGGCGGGUCUCUGGGCCUUACCUGACGCUGAGGAGCGAAAGCAUGGGGAGCGAACAGGAUUAGAUACCCUGGUAGUCCAUGCCGUAAACGUUGGGCGCUAGGUGUGGGGACUUUCCACGGUUUCCGCGCCGUAGCUAACGCAUUAAGCGCCCCGCCUGGGGAGUACGGCCGCAAGGCUAAAACUCAAAGGAAUUGACGGGGGCCCGCACAAGCGGCGGAGCAUGUUGCUUAAUUCGACGCAACGCGAAGAACCUUACCAAGGUUUGACAUCACCCGUGGACUCGCAGAGAUGUGAGGUCAUUUAGUUGGCGGGUGACAGGUGGUGCAUGGCUGUCGUCAGCUCGUGUCGUGAGAUGUUGGGUUAAGUCCCGCAACGAGCGCACCCUUGUUCAUGUUGCCGCACGUAAUGGUGGGGACUCUGGGAGACUGCCGGGGUCACUCGGAGGAAGGUGGGGAUGACGUCAGUCAUCUGCCCCUUAUGUCUGGGCUGCAACCUGCUACAUGGCCGGUACAUGG
This 1173-nucleotide ribosomal RNA is filed under the name Nocardiopsis dassonvillei. Its description in RNAcentral is "bacterial SSU rRNA". It matches the Rfam family "Bacterial small subunit ribosomal RNA", at positions 56 to 1244 of the family's 1533-position model. Lineage: Bacteria; Bacillati; Actinomycetota; Actinomycetes; Streptosporangiales; Nocardiopsidaceae. The record is from RNAcentral.